RNAcentral lists this ribosomal RNA (287 nucleotides) under Bifidobacterium pseudocatenulatum. RNAcentral describes it as "partial 16S ribosomal RNA". It matches the Rfam family "Bacterial small subunit ribosomal RNA", at positions 73 to 360 of the family's 1533-position model. The record is from RNAcentral. Lineage: Bacteria; Bacillati; Actinomycetota; Actinomycetes; Bifidobacteriales; Bifidobacteriaceae.
UCAGGCUUUGCUUGGUGGUGAGAGUGGCGAACGGGUGAGUAAUGCGUGACCGACCUGCCCCAUACACCGGAAUAGCUCCUGGAAACGGGUGGUAAUGCCGGAUGCUCCGACUCCUCGCAUGGGGUGUCGGGAAAGAUUUCAUCGGUAUGGGAUGGGGUCGCGUCCUAUCAGGUAGUCGGCGGGGUAACGGCCCACCGAGCCUACGACGGGUAGCCGGCCUGAGAGGGCGACCGGCCACAUUGGGACUGAGAUACGGCCCAGACUCCUACGGGAGGCAGCAGUAGGAA